This 253-nucleotide ribosomal RNA is filed under the name uncultured bacterium. RNAcentral describes it as "partial 16S ribosomal RNA". It matches the Rfam family "Bacterial small subunit ribosomal RNA", at positions 524 to 776 of the family's 1533-position model. The record is from RNAcentral.
GACAGAGGCCACGAACGUUGUUCGGAAUUACUGGGCGUAAAGGGCUCGUAGGCGGCCAACUAAGUCAGACGUGAAAUCCCUCAGCUUAACUGGGGAACUGCGUCUGAUACUGGAUGGCUUGGAUUUGGGAGAGGGAUGUGGAAUUCCAGGUGUAGCGGUGAAAUGCGUAGAUAUCUGGAGGAACACCGGUGGCGAAGGCGGCAUCCUGGACCAAUAUUGACGCUGAGGAGCGAAAGCCAGGGGAGCAAACGGG